RNAcentral lists this unclassified non-coding RNA (143 nucleotides) under uncultured fungus. RNAcentral describes it as "sequence contains ITS1, 5.8S rRNA gene". Lineage: Eukaryota; Fungi. The record is from RNAcentral.
GUGAAUUCAAAAGGCCUUGGGGGACUUUGCAAAAAGCACCCCAGGCCGACUUUACUAUUUCACACACUUUGUGCUCUCGUCUUUUUUAACACUGUUGCAUCUAUUAAACAGUUGAUGAUAAACCAAGUUGAUAAACAUUGAAA